RNAcentral lists this ribosomal RNA (497 nucleotides) under uncultured bacterium. RNAcentral describes it as "partial 16S ribosomal RNA". It matches the Rfam family "Bacterial small subunit ribosomal RNA", at positions 28 to 507 of the family's 1533-position model. The record is from RNAcentral.
GAUGAACGCUGGCGGCGUGCCUAAUACAUGCAAGUCGAGCGAACAGACGAGGAGCUUGCUCCUCUGACGUUAGCGGCGGACGGGUGAGUAACACGUGGAUAACCUACCUAUAAGACUGGGAUAACUUCGGGAAACCGGAGCUAAUACCGGAUAAUAUAUUGAACCGCAUGGUUCAAUAGUGAAAGACGGUUUUGCUGUCACUUAUAGAUGGAUCCGCGCCGCAUUAGCUAGUUGGUAAGGUAACGGCUUACCAAGGCGACGAUGCGUAGCCGACCUGAGAGGGUGAUCGGCCACACUGGAACUGAGACACGGUCCAGACUCCUACGGGAGGCAGCAGUAGGGAAUCUUCCGCAAAGGGCGAAAGCCUGACGGAGCAACGCCGCGUGAGUGAUGACGGUCUUCGGAUCGUAAAACUCUGUUAUUAGGGAAGAACAAAUGUGUAAGUAACUAUGCACGUCUUGACGGUACCUAAUCAGAAAGCCACGGCUAAGUACGUG